GGGGGUGAAUUGGUUUCGACCGGCGUCAAGGCCCUCCACGGGAAGCACCGGGAACCGGGUUCGAAUCCCGGCAUCUCCAUCG
This 82-nucleotide transfer-messenger RNA is filed under the name Clostridia bacterium. It matches the Rfam family "transfer-messenger RNA". Rfam says of the family: Bacterial tmRNA, also known as 10Sa RNA or SsrA, is named for its dual tRNA and mRNA-like properties. Its role is to liberate the mRNA from a stalled ribosome. To accomplish this part of the tmRNA is used as a reading frame that ends in a translation stop signal. Lineage: Bacteria; Bacillati; Bacillota; Clostridia. The record is from RNAcentral.